GCAGUCGAGCGGACAGAUGGGAGCUUGCUCCCUGAUGUCAGCGGCGGACGGGUGAGUAACACGUGGGUAACCUGCCUGUAAGACUGGGAUAACUCCGGGAAACCGGGGCUAAUACCGGAUGCUUGAUUGAACCGCAUGGUUCAAUUAUAAAAGGUGGCUUUUACCUACCACUUACAAAUGGACCCGCGGCGCAUUACCUAGUUGGGGAGGUAACGGCUCACCAAGGCAACAAUGCGUACCCAACCUGAAAGGGGGAUCGGCCACCCGGGAACUGAAACACGGCCCAAACUCCUACGGAAGGCACCAUUAGGGAAUCUUCCGCAUGGAACAAAAGUCUGACGAACCACCGCCCCGGGAGUGAUGAAGGUUUUCGAAUCGUAAAACUCUGUUGUUAGGGAAAAACAAGUACCGUUCGAAUAGGGCGGUACCUUGACGGUACCUAACCAAAAAGCCACGGCUAACUACUUGCCACCAGCCGCGGUAUUACUUAGGUGGCAAGCGUUGUCCGGAAUUAUGGGGCGUAAAGCGCGCGCAGGCGGUUUCUUAGUUCGAAUGUGAAAGCCCCCGGCUCACCCG
This 576-nucleotide ribosomal RNA is filed under the name Bacillus licheniformis. RNAcentral describes it as "bacterial SSU rRNA". It matches the Rfam family "Bacterial small subunit ribosomal RNA", at positions 58 to 615 of the family's 1533-position model. Lineage: Bacteria; Bacillati; Bacillota; Bacilli; Caryophanales; Bacillaceae. The record is from RNAcentral.